RNAcentral lists this non-coding RNA (106 nucleotides) under Paenibacillus sp. RNAcentral's name for it is "TPP sequence". It matches the Rfam family "TPP riboswitch aptamer (THI element)". Rfam says of the family: Vitamin B(1) in its active form thiamin pyrophosphate (TPP) is an essential coenzyme that is synthesised by coupling of pyrimidine and thiazole moieties in bacteria. The previously detected thiamin-regulatory element, thi box was extended, resulting in a new, highly conserved RNA secondary structure, the THI element, which is widely distributed in eubacteria and also occurs in some archaea. The record is from RNAcentral. RNAcentral also lists the same sequence under 1 other name. Lineage: Bacteria; Bacillati; Bacillota; Bacilli; Caryophanales; Paenibacillaceae.
GUGUGUCACUAGGGGAGCCGCUUGGGCUGAGAUUGGAUCGAUAGAUCCUAGACCCUCUGAACCUGAUCUGGUUGAUACCAGCGUAGGGAAGUGGAGAGCGUCAGCA